AAAAAAAAAUUACAUUCCUUCUAAAAUAAACAAAAGGUCGCAUGCAUCUCAACAAAUUUCAUCCUACAAAACUUCUGAUAAAGGUCGGUUAAAAUAAUAUGACCUUUCCUCCUAUUCUUGAUCCCUUUCUUUUAUAUUGUCUUGCUAACCCUGAGAUGGCUGAUGAAGGCUGACGAGUUUGCUCAGGUCUCUUUACCCAGAGGCUCCAGCAGCACGCUUAUCAUAUUCACCCUGUUCUUCUUUGGCAAACUCUUCAAUCAAUUCCCGUUGUCUUGGAGUCAAGUUCCUGUGGGGAAAAAAAAAAAUUGACUCCGGCAUUGUGUUCUCUUGCAGAAAUGGCAUUAGCAAAUUACCUAUCCAAUCUAUACCAUUAUGAAAAGUGGCGUUUUAAAACAACUUUGCUUUUAAUUUACUCAUAUGUUGUAACUACACACCAGGCCACAAAUAUGCAUUAAAAUGUGAAAUUAUUUAACUGACAAGAGAAAACCCUACGUUGGAAUGUUGACAGUGAAGUGCACAAAUUGGUCACCGAAAGAGUAAGAGCCACGAGCUUUAACCCCUGUUGAUAAGUAUCAAGACAACUUAUUAUUUACUUGAGUAAAAAUUAAGACAGGCCAUUAAUAGAAUGAAUACGUCCCUAACACAUUAUGAAGCAAGGCAAUUCAAAAUGCCGAGAAAUUAACAAAAUUCAGCAGCACCAAUUCAAGAUUUGAUAUAAAAUUACAAAAGAAUCCCACAUCAGCUAGUAAUGAAAAACAUUCUAAACUUAGUCCAGAAUAUACAUGAUGCAGGGAGAAGAAGAACAAUAAUAGAAAGAACACUCAGCCACAUCAGUUCAAGUAAGAAGUUAGGAAAGAAUUCCUCCCACAGUCCCACUGAAUCCAAAACAUAUUCAAUUCCUAGUCAUUCCUCAAAUUUUUAUGAUUAUCACCUACAAAUAUCAAAUGGCUUAAAACUUAUAAAGCAAACAAAUGCCACAAACACAAACUUAUAACUCUAAAGUAUCUACAGGAAAAAAACCACGAAACUUGAACAGCCCAUAACUGAAGACACAACCUAGAUUAUAUAUAUAUAUAUUAGUGUAUUCUCACCUUUUUUCUUGAGGACCACCUUCUGGCCAGGCUGGGUGCCAGCCCGGACCUUAAGUACAACAUCUCCUGUGAGAGUAGGGACCUGGAUGGUUCCCCCCAAAAUUGCCUGAGUAACACUCAAAACAGCAUCCACAUGAAUGUUAGAACCUUCUCUACGGAAAAUAGGAUCUUCCCGAACCCUGAUUGUUACAAAUAGAUCACCAGAUUGAUUUCUCUCUGGGUCUGCUCCACCACUUCUUGGUACCUUUAUGGUUUCAUUGUCAUCCACUCCUACAGACAGCAUAGAAUCAAACAUCAAGCACAAACCGAAAAAAAAGAACAAAAAAUCUAUCAAAAGAAGGAUCAUGCAGAACAACAGACAAUAAAAAAGCAUCCCCAAGGGUCACCUGAUUAGAGAUAAAUAUUCAAUAUAGAACUUAACACAAUGCUAAAAACUUACUUAUUGUGACAAAGGGUAUGGAUAAAUAGCGGAUAAAUAGCUAGCUUUAAUGCAAGUACUCAUAAGCCACUCAAUCGACAUUUUCAACAAUAAUUAUAAGCCACUCAAGCAAGUAAUCAAAUUCAUUUUUUAACAAUAGCAAGUUUCAUUUAAAGAAUUUUCUCGUGCCAUAACAUCCUUUAAUACACAUGGAUGCACUCACUAAAGUGUAUCAUAUAAGUCAUAACUUGUUAAACUGAGUUUAGAGGAGAAGGGGCAUCCACCUACCAAAAACAUUAGUUGUUAGUUGCACACAUUUUGCACGAAAAAGUAGGCAAUCAUUUAGUAUAUUAUUAAUUAGCUGAAGGUACCUACCAUGAAGAGAAUUCAAAUGUGACAUGUGCUAGGUAAAUGAUAAGCACAGUGCAUAAGUAUUUGUAAGAGCCAAACUAGGAAAGAAAGGCUAAGAUAUUAUAUAAGACCAGAAAAAUUCAACAAGAUGCUUCAAGAUCAAGAAAACAGACCUGGCAUAAUAUCCAAAUUGACAGACUUUGUUCCUCUCACUACUCUACGUCCAUUGCAUGUCUUGCAAAAACUCGAUACAGUUUGCCCAGUUCCACCACACUGAUUACAAGUAUGUUGAAUACUAAAGAAUCCUUUUUGGGUAAACACCAUGCCAGUGCCUUUACAGCGCUUACACAUUUCAGGUUUUACCCCAGGAGGAAUACCUUCUCCAUAACAAGCUUCACAAACUGUAUCAGCUUGAAAUGUGAUAGUUUUGGUGCAUCCCUGAACAGCUUCCAUGAAGGAUAGUUCAACAGCAACCUUGACAUCUUGGCCGCCAAGCUUCUGCUUAAAUAUGUUGCCGAAUAUGUCAUCCAUUCUGAAGAAGCUAUCAAAUGGAUUAUCGAAUCCUGGUCCACCAGGAUGAAAAUCUCCAUUGAGAUUACGUUCAUAUGCAUCAUGGCCAACCUCAUCAUAUUGUGCACGCUUUUCGUCAUCUUUCAAAACCUCAUAAGCCUUCGAAACUUCUUGAAACUUCUUUUCAGCUUCAGGAUCAUCUUUAUUUGUAUCAGGAUGGAGUUUCUUUGCCAGCGCAUAAUAAGCUUUCUUUAUUUCAGAUGAAGUUGCAUUCUUGCUAACUCCAAGUACAUCAUAAUAAUCUCCUGACAUAUAAGCAGAGCCAUGAAUUGACCUCGUUGUGCAAAUAUUGGCAUUCAAAGAUCCCAAUAACAACCAGUUUUUGUGGUUAACUGCACAUUUCCAAACAUGAAACUCAGUAGAAACCAACCACAAUGCUACUUUUGGACGCUAAGAAAAUGAAAUAAAUAAACUAGAAAAACGUGGGCACAAUCAAGUCUUUUCUAGCUUAAUAAUUAACGGAUAAUUUUAAUUUGUUUCCUCAAAGCACUUCACCGAAACAAGCAAAAAUUUCCAAACUGUCGUUCUAUUGCAUUCCUCAGCUUUCUCAAUAGCCAAACACGAUAGUUAGAGAAAGAGAGAGAACAAAAGUACCAUUUUUAGGAGUGUACUUGCCAAUAACCCAACCAGGGUUGCAAACCCCAGUACUCAAUCCCCUACAAUUCCCAUUUAACAGACUCUUAUAUACAGAAUUAGCAGAAUCUUCGAAAAGGUUGGAUGAGGGA
This 3155-nucleotide unclassified non-coding RNA is filed under the name Hevea brasiliensis (rubber tree). The record is from RNAcentral. Lineage: Eukaryota; Viridiplantae; Streptophyta; Magnoliopsida; Malpighiales; Euphorbiaceae.